RNAcentral lists this ribosomal RNA (378 nucleotides) under uncultured bacterium. RNAcentral describes it as "bacterial SSU rRNA". It matches the Rfam family "Bacterial small subunit ribosomal RNA", at positions 524 to 898 of the family's 1533-position model. The record is from RNAcentral.
UACGUAGGGCGCGAGCGUUGUCCGGAAUUAUUGGGCGUAAAGAGCUCGUAGGCGGCUUGUCGCGUCUGCUGUGAAAACGCGGGGCUUAACUCCGCGCGUGCAGUGGGUACGGGCAGGCUAGAGUGUGGUAGGGGUGAUUGGAAUUCCUGGUGUAGCGGUGGAAUGCGCAGAUAUCAGGAGGAACACCGAUGGCGAAGGCAGGUCACUGGGCCAUUACUGACGCUGAGGAGCGAAAGCAUGGGGAGCGAACAGGAUUAGAUACCCUGGUAGUCCAUGCCGUAAACGUUGGGCACUAGGUGUGGGGCCUGUUUCCACGGGUUCUGCGCCGUAGCUAACGCAUUAAGUGCCCCGCCUGGGGAGUACGGCCGCAAGGCUAAA